AUCCCAUGGUGAGGGCAUUUACGCAACAAUUCCUUAAACCUCUCCCAUGCCUCAUACAAAGAUUCCCUUUCAUGCAUGAAAUCCGGUGAUGUCAUUUCUAAGCUU
This 105-nucleotide small nucleolar RNA is filed under the name Morus notabilis. Its description in RNAcentral is "Plant small nucleolar RNA R71". It matches the Rfam family "Plant small nucleolar RNA R71". From Rfam's summary of the family: R71 is a member of the C/D box family of snoRNAs containing the C (UGAUGA) and D (CUGA) box motifs. Multiple nearly identical copies of this snoRNA have been identified in Arabidopsis, and it is thought to function as a 2'-O-ribose methylation guide for 18S ribosomal RNA. Lineage: Eukaryota; Viridiplantae; Streptophyta; Magnoliopsida; Rosales; Moraceae. The record is from Rfam by way of RNAcentral.